GAACUACAAUAAUGAACGUUCAAGAGAUUUCACAAAUCCUAGCCUGCCUUCUGAACCAAAAGGCCGGUCAUCUCAACCUGGAUAUGGUGAUACGGGAGGCAUGUAUGCACUUCAAGCAUCUGGAGCGAGACCAGUUGCAUUCUCACAGAUGGCCAAUGCAGCGGCUGUUGCUGCUGCAUUUGGAGGAGGUUUGCCACCUGGUGUUAGUGGGACGAACGACAGGUGUACAGUCCUUGUGUCCAAUCUGAAUCCGGAUAGAAUAGAUGAAGACAAG
RNAcentral lists this unclassified non-coding RNA (274 nucleotides) under Hevea brasiliensis (rubber tree). Lineage: Eukaryota; Viridiplantae; Streptophyta; Magnoliopsida; Malpighiales; Euphorbiaceae. The record is from RNAcentral.